UCAGUAACAAGGAUUCAUCCUGUUGUCACCAUAGAAAGCAACAGGAAGUCACUGUUACUGGCC
This is a microRNA precursor of Gadus morhua (Atlantic cod), 63 nucleotides long. The record is from Ensembl. Lineage: Eukaryota; Metazoa; Chordata; Actinopteri; Gadiformes; Gadidae.